RNAcentral lists this ribosomal RNA (468 nucleotides) under uncultured bacterium. RNAcentral describes it as "partial 16S ribosomal RNA". It matches the Rfam family "Bacterial small subunit ribosomal RNA", at positions 28 to 507 of the family's 1533-position model. The record is from RNAcentral.
GACGAACGCUGGCGGCGUGCUUAACACAUGCAAGUCGAACGGAAAGGCCCUGCUUUUGUGGGGUGCUCGAGUGGCGAACGGGUGAGUAACACGUGAGUAACCUGCCCUUGACUUUGGGAUAACUUCAGGAAACUGGGGCUAAUACCGGAUAGGAGCUCCUGCUGCAUGGUGGGGGUUGGAAAGUUUCGGCGGUUGGGGAUGGACUCGCGGCUUAUCAGCGUGUUGGUGGGGUAGGGGCUUACCAAGGCUUUGACGGGUAGCCGGCCUGAGAGGGGGACCGGCCCCCAUGGGACCGAGAUAACGCCCCGACCCCUUAGGGGGGGCGGCGUGGGGGAUUGUGCACCAAGGGGCGGAGCCCUAUGCCGCCAACGCCCCGGGGGGAUGGCCGCCCUUCGGUUUUAAACCGGCUUCCCCUGGGACCAAGGCGGAGUGACGGUAAAGGGUAAAAGAGCCCCCGCCAACCUACUG